ACGGCCCACCAAACCAACGAUCAGUAGCCGGUCUGAGAGGAUGAACGGCCACACUGGAACUGAGACACGGUCCAGACUCCUACGGGAGGCAGCAGUGGGGAAUCUUCCGCAAUGGACGAAAGUCUGACGGAGCAACGCCGCGUGAGUGAAGACGGCCUUCGGGUUGUAAAGCUCUGUGAUCCGGGACGAAAGAGCCUGAGGUGAAUAGCCUAAGGAAGUGACGGUACCGGAAAAGCAAGCCACGGCUAACUAC
RNAcentral lists this ribosomal RNA (253 nucleotides) under uncultured bacterium. RNAcentral describes it as "partial 16S ribosomal RNA". It matches the Rfam family "Bacterial small subunit ribosomal RNA", at positions 260 to 504 of the family's 1533-position model. The record is from RNAcentral.